Lutzomyia longipalpis is the source of this 3089-nucleotide long non-coding RNA. RefSeq lists it as uncharacterized. The record is from RefSeq and is a predicted model, not a curated record. Lineage: Eukaryota; Metazoa; Arthropoda; Insecta; Diptera; Psychodidae. The transcript is spliced from 3 exons.
AAUAAUUUCUGUUACUUGAGUUGCUUCAUGAAUUUUGUCCGCAGAAUUUCUAUAUUUUAGCUGUGUUUCUUUCAGACACAGCUUUUUGUGUACCGAGCAAAAUCGAAAGUCGUCAGAUCAGGCUCAAACUUGGGAUGAGCACAAAUUAGGGUCCCCACAUUCCAAAAAACGUAUGCGCCAAAAAAUUUUUUUUCCGGCCGGCCGGCCGUCUGCAGUAUAACACUAAAUUGCGAGGGAACUGUGAUAGAUAGAGACUUGCGGUAAACCUAUAAACCAAUACCUAUAAACCGGUUUUGCCUAUAUCUCAGAUAUCUUAAAAUCUGAAAUUUUGAUAUGUUGUAGGGGACAUCAAGCUCUCAACAUACCCUACAACUCUCUAGAACAUCCGAAGUUUCAAAAGUGACCGCUAGAGGGCCAAAAAACGAAAACAAAAUUUUCGAUGAAUAUCUCGAAAACGGCGACAUAUUGUUACGAUUUUUGGGAGAAAUGAAAUUACCGGAAAUAAACAAACGGUUAUUAUGAAUUUAAAUGAAACGAAACACGGCGAAAUGCCGAAAGAGAUUAAGAUGAAGAAGAAGAAGAUAGGACCCAUCAAAAAUAUGUUUCGAGGUCGGUCGGCAGCUAAAAUUUUGUCCGCAGUUUAUUUUUUCAUUCGGGUGAAUUUAUCUCGCUUUGGGAGCGUUCGGUGUGGGUGCAGAAAAUUUCCGCGGUUUUCUUCAAAAAUUCGUCAAUUUGAGACUUUGUGGUUUGAGAGUGCAAAAAUGAUGGAAAAUUCACGCAGAAGAGAUGCGAUCGUUUUUGGAACACAAUCAGUGCCCAGGAUGACCAGCCCGGAAGCCUUACCCGGAUGCCCUAUUCCCGGAUGGCCUGCCUGAAUGCUCUACCCGGAUGCCCUACCCGCUUCUGCUUUAAUUUUUGACAACAUUCCAAAAUGCGGAAAUAUCCGUUUGAAGCACAAAACUGUCCGUGCCUGGCUUCAGUCCUCAAUUUCUGGGAUCCGGUCUUACACAACUUUAUGCAACAUAAUUUUCCGGAAAUGGAAGGUGAGAAAGAUGAAAAAAUAUUUAGAAUACUUUUUCCCGGUCACAAAGGUGAAGAGGAGAGAUCAUCUGAAAAGCGGCCCAGCAUCGAAGGAGACAGCAGGAGAAGGAAAAGGCAACGCCGGAUAUAUUUUUUCAAUAUUUUUUUGUAAAUUUUAAAAAUAUUAAAUAAAUCUAUAUAAUAAAGAAAGGUCUGUUUGUUGGUAAUCUUCCGUCGUGUUCGGCUAUACAAAUCUACACCGUUUGACCGAUUGCGAUGAAAUUUGGUACAGACGCUCCUUAUAUCAGUCUGUUUCGAGUGGCCGUAUUCAUUUUCCCCCCAAAGCCCCCCUUUAGGUGGCCCCCAUAUAAAAUUCAUGCAUUUUUUGCGAAUUUUUGAAUUUGGCGCCGGAAAUGUUGCUUGAAAAUGAUUUCUUCUCUUUGCAAAUUUAUUUCUUUGGGUUUAAAUGAGUGGCCCUAUUUUUUUUACUUAUAAACCAUCACAAUUUUUUUCUCCAAAAUUUGCGCGAAGCGCAACAAGUCCCCGCGAAGCGGGGCGAGGUAAAUUGGAGCGAAGCGACAAUUUACCUCGUUAAUAAUAAUUUGCAAAAAAAACGCUUUUUUUUUAAAUUCAAAACGAAUUUCAACAGUAUAACAGAUUGAUGAAUUUUUUCAGAAAACUGCGGAAAUAUUCUGCAGAAAAAGUGUCCCAGCGCUAUACAAAAUUUCUAAAGAAUUUCUAAAGAACACGUGUUCAGAAUACCUUUAGUGCUUUCGAAUUUUUCUGCAGAAAUUCGGCAGCUAGUUUUUGAUGGGGAGGAGAGGUCAUAACCUCAAAGUUUUACCCCCAAAACCUUAUAUAAGUGCGGGAAGUGACUGCAGAAAUGCCUCGGAUUCCAUGAGCUCCACACUAAGAAGAAGAGGAGCUGUUGGUAGCCAGCCACCUAGAAGGCAGAAGAAACACCCCGAUUCCACGAGCCCCCAGUCUGAGAGGAGCGUUUGUGGCAGUGUCGAGCCAGGAAGGAUGUCAAUUGACUUAACUCACACCGGGAUCCAGGGCGUGAGGAGAGAUCUCACAAAAUCCCCAAUCACCCGAAAAUCUGUCGGAGAAUCUAGUGGGCCCGAAUCGAAGGAUGUCUUGGAUGAUGAUCUACCAUAUUGGAGUCAUUUAUCGUCCACUUCCUGCCCAGUGCCUCGCUCCAGGGAGGCUCAUCCCCAUCAGGAGCCACGAGGUCGUACCCGGAUAGACCAAGCUUUGGUCAUCUCCCACACUGGUGAAGAAAUCAAUGCCCACUGCUGCAUCCCAAGGAGAUUCAUCACGAAGUGAUUCACGGCGGAACAAUAGAUCCGGAAGGUAGCUCCAUUGCUUUUCCGGAGGCUGCCCUAACUCUUACCUGGGAUUAUUCUUCAGAAUUUAUGCCACACUUAUUCUUAAAAAUAAAUAGAUGUUCCUGAGGUGACCUAUGCUGUUUUUCUUCCCCCCCCUCUCUCUUCUAGGCUCUCGUGGAAUCUCAUUCUUUGGGGCUACUUUAAAGCCGAAUAUGAUAAGGGUAAAUUUCGUCACAAAAAAUUUUUUUUUUAAAAUUUUUUGAUAUAUUGUAGCUGACUAUAUUAUCUAGGCUCCAUGCCAAAAAUGCAGAAAAUCUAUGGAUCCGUUCUCGAGAUAUAGCCUUCCAAAGUUGGCAUGUCAUAUCUCGGGUUCUACAAGUCUGAUCUUGAUCAACUCAAGCGCAAAUGAAAGGUUUCGUGAAACUCUACAAAUGUCUAGAACAUUGCAACUUCGAGAAAUGACCGCAAGAGACGCUAAAAUCGAAAACAAAACUUUCGAAAAUUUCGAACUCGAAUUUUUUGAAAAUGGCGACAUAAUUUUUUUUCGUUUUUCGAUAUGUUAUAGCUGACUUCAAGACAUGACUUUUCAACUUUUCCCGACUUUACACGUAUUUAAAUUAAUUCGCGUUCUAAGUUUGCUUUCACAAAAUUGGUACACGGAAAGAAACACAGCUCUCGUAAGCUUGGUCAGCUUACCAGUACAUUUCCUAAUUUUCUUUACACGAUCUUGAAGUAAUAAAA